This 424-nucleotide ribosomal RNA is filed under the name uncultured prokaryote. RNAcentral's name for it is "bacterial SSU rRNA". It matches the Rfam family "Bacterial small subunit ribosomal RNA", at positions 355 to 796 of the family's 1533-position model. The record is from RNAcentral.
UGGGGAAUAUUGGACAAUGGGCGAAAGCCUGAUCCAGCCAUGCCGCGUGAGUGAUGAAGGCCCUAGGGUUGUAAAGCUCUUUCAACGGUGAAGAUAAUGACGGUAACCGUAGAAGAAGCCCCGGCUAACUUCGUGCCAGCAGCCGCGGUAAUACGAAGGGGGCUAGCGUUGUUCGGAAUUACUGGGCGUAAAGCGCGCGUAGGCGGAUUGAUCAGUUAGGGGUGAAAUCCCAAGGCUCAACCUUGGAACUGCCUCUAAUACUGUCAAUCUAGAGUUCGAGAGAGGUGAGUGGAAUUCCGAGUGUAGAGGUGAAAUUCGUAGAUAUUCGGAGGAACACCAGUGGCGAAGGCGGCUCACUGGCUCGAUACUGACGCUGAGGUGCGAAAGUGUGGGGAGCAAACAGGAUUAGAUACCCCCGUAGUCC